GAUGAACGCUGGCGGCGUGCCUAAUACAUGCAAGUCGAGCGAACGGACGAGAAGCUUGCUUCUCUGAUGUUAGCGGCGGACGGGUGAGUAACACGUGGAUAACCUACCUAUAAGACUGGGAUAACUUCGGGAAACCGGAGCUAAUACCGGAUGAUAUUUUGAACCGCAUGGUUCAAAAGUGAAAGACGGUCUUGCUGUCGCUUAUAGAUGGAUCCGCGCUGCAUUAGCUAGUUGGUAAGGUAACGGCUUACCAAGGCAACGAUGCAUAGCCGACCUGAGAGGGUGAUCGGCCACACUGGAACUGAGACACGGUCCAGACUCCUACGGGAGGCAGCAGUAGGGAAUCUUCCGCAAUGGGCGAAAGCCUGACAGAGCAACGCCGCGUGAGUGAUGAAGGUCUUCGGAUCGUAAAACUCUGUUAUUAGGGAAGAACAUAUGUGUAAGUAACUGUGCACAUCUUGACGGUACCGAAUCAGAAAGCCACGGCUAACUACGU
RNAcentral lists this ribosomal RNA (496 nucleotides) under uncultured bacterium. RNAcentral describes it as "partial 16S ribosomal RNA". It matches the Rfam family "Bacterial small subunit ribosomal RNA", at positions 28 to 506 of the family's 1533-position model. The record is from RNAcentral.